Molecule: ribosomal RNA, 450 nt
Filed under: uncultured Glomeromycotina
Lineage: Eukaryota; Fungi; Glomeromycota
Description: SSU rRNA
Rfam family: Eukaryotic small subunit ribosomal RNA
Source: RNAcentral
CGCAGCCGCGGUAAUUCCAGCUCCAAUAGCGUAUAUUAAAGUUGUUGCAGUUAAAAAGCUCGUAGUUGAAUUUCGGGGUUAGUAAGUUGGUCAUGCCACUGGUAUGUACUGGCUUUACUGAUUCCUCCUUCUUGAAGAACUGUAAUGCCAUUAAUUUGGUGUUGCAGGGAAACAGGACUGUUACUUUGAAAAAAUUAGAGUGUUUAAAGCAGGCAAUCGCUUGAAUACAUUAGCAUGGAAUAAUGAAAUAGGACGUUCGAUCCUAUUUUGUUGGUUUCUAGGAUUGACGUAAUGAUUAAUAGGGAUAGUUGGGGGCAUUAGUAUUCAAUUGUCAGAGGUGAAAUUCUUGGAUUUAUUGAAGACUAACUACUGCGAAAGCAUUUGCCAAGGAUGUUUUCAUUAAUCAAGAACGAAGUUAGGGGAUCGAAGACGAUCAGAUACCGUCGUAGU